Long non-coding RNA from Oncorhynchus gorbuscha (pink salmon), 1285 nucleotides. RefSeq lists it as uncharacterized. Lineage: Eukaryota; Metazoa; Chordata; Actinopteri; Salmoniformes; Salmonidae. The record is from RefSeq and is a predicted model, not a curated record. The transcript is spliced from 2 exons.
CAUAACUGUUAGCUAUAUAACUACAUACAGAUUAUGCAGAUACAGAAUAUUUUAUUGUGUUAUAAAUAACUUAUACUGUAAAUCAGUGAUCUAAGAGGGACAUGUAAUUAUCUAAGUGUGUCAAUGGAUUAUACUCAUAACCCAGGAUUAUCAGUCCCUAUUAUGUUAUUCCAGUACUUCAGUACUAUCAGUCCCUAUUGUAUUAUAUUAGUAGUUCAGUACUCUCUGUCCCUAUUAUGUUAUAUUUGUACUUCAGUACUAUCAGUCCCUAUUGUAUUAUAUUUGUACUUCAGUACUAUCAGUCCCUAUUGCAUAAUAUUAGUAGUUCAGUAAUGUCUGACUCUAUUGUAUUAUACUCGUACUUCAGUACUAUCAGUCCCUAUUCUGCCCUGCAAAGGCAAAACUCAGUAACAACGAAACUGGUCAAAGAUCUUUGAUCUGUUGUAAUGGCCAAGUAUAUUACCUGAUUAAUGUGGUAUUUAGUUUCCUGACACAAUAACAAUAAUAAAACAGUUGACAGUUGGUUAUCAGAAAUUGCUAUCUGUCUAUGCAGAAAAAUACUUUUAAGUCAGAUUUGGAAGAUUUGCCAUUGUUGGGUAUUAUUGUAUUAUACUAGCACUUCAGUAUUCAGGGUGGGACUGAGAGUGCUCUGUGUGUUAAGGUGCCUGCCCACUCUUGUGUGAUGGAGGUUUUUGUAUGGUGACUUAACCAUUAUGAAUCGUUGUGGUGGACUUUUGGAAGCGGAACAAAACUAGUGCUGAAAACUGGUCCCUCUAUCAGACCCACAGUGUCUCUGCUCCCCCCGUCCUCUGAGCAGCUCUUCGGGGGCUCGGCCACACUGUCCUGCCUGCUGAGUGGCUACUCCCCCCAGGGGGCGAUGGUGAGCUGGGAGGUGGAUGGGGAGGAGGUGCAGGAUGGGGUCCUGACCUCCACAGAAGAAGAGAAGGGCGGCCACUACAGCCGCAGCAGCACCCUGACCCUGAGCAAGGCACGCUGGGAAGAGGGAGAGGUGUACACUUGCAGGGUCGCCCAUGAUGACACCAGUGAUUCGGCCGCCUUCCGGAAAAGCCACUGUAGUGUCUAGAGACCGGAGAAGCCAUUGUAGGGGGCUAGAGAGUCCCCACAUGGUGCUGGUGAAGGAAAUAUUACUGUUUUACAGCUGAAUGCUAAAGUAUAGUAGUGAAUCAUUUCAGGAGUGAUGUGCUAAAUGAAGUAUUUUGUGAUUAAGUUGUAAAGGUCAUCUUGCUUCUGAGUUCAAAUAAAGCUUGUUUUAAUUGAAAUAUAA